AGUCUUCUAGAAAUUAACCCCUCAUCAGCUGAGCUCCUCAACAGUGAGUGGCAGCUUGGACUCUUGGCUGCAGGCAGUUCUCCUGAACCGGUCACCAGGGCUCAGGAUGAGCUAUCCAGAUGCAUCUGUGACAAUGUGGCUUUCAUCUUCAUCACAGUUGACCCCGUGGGAGGAAAGCCCCCUUUCUCCCACUUCAGCCCACAUCUCUCUUCCCAGAACAGCAAACUGCCACCCAGGAGGGACUGCCGCUUCCCUGGUCGUGGGAAACUCUGCAGAACCUCCUCUCCUGAGCACUCCUGAGCGAAGAGCCAAGCCAGGCCAGAGCUCACACAUGGUGAGGAUGUCCAGACCAUUAUUCCUCGAUUGGGCCUGGAGACCCCUCUGCAGCCCCUCCCAAUCUCUCCCACUGACCUACGGACCAGAAGGCUGGAUUUUGCAAUGGAAGGGAACUUGCAGGCAGCAGACAGCUCUGCACUGUCCCUUUGAUUUUCCUCAGGCACCUCUGAGAGGGAGACACACUCUCAGCCAAGUACCCAACAAGGGACAUGAGAAGGCUUCUGCUGUGCAGCUGCCAGAGAAACAGGGGACAGAUCAAAGCAGGAGAGGACCAACAUCUGCGGUAACCAAAGCAAGGACAAGUUACCCUGAGUCAGAAACCUUCAUUGUGUAUUUGUGCAGUUACUUUUGGAACUCAAGUAAAGGAGUUUACAUGUCAGGUUCCACCUGAAUUCCUUCCAUGCUUUUCAGCGACUGAACCAUUUGGGUGGCCUGGAAGAGCCUGUGAGCUCCCUGGAGAAAGGAGACAGUGUGGAUGGAGAAGAAUCUGGAGUAGAGAGGAGUCUGGGGACCCUGCCUUUCAAGUCGUUUGUGUGAGGGCUGCGUUGGUGGCCCAACUAGCCAGGGAAGGGCUAUGGUAUGCGGGGUCAGGCGGGAAUAGGCAGGAAAUGUUUGUGAUAAGAGGCUUCGCCUCUUGCAAGCUCCUCUGGUUUCCAGACCCAGCUGCAGGAUAAGGGCCCAGGAGCUGAGCAGGGAGCCUCAGAGGAGGCUGCUGCAAGAGCCAGCUCUUGGGAUUUCAGCAGGCAGAGUUGCAAUCAGAGGCCCCUGGGGUCCCUGAAGACCAUGCCUGGGGAUAGAAACGACCCUGGGAACCCAGCCAGGGCUGCCUUCCUUUGGGAUCAGGGAUUUUCAAUCAUACUUCAGAGGGCCAAAUCAAUCCCUUAAGAAAAAUAAAACAAAACAAA
Homo sapiens (human) is the source of this 1241-nucleotide long non-coding RNA. Ensembl annotates it as long intergenic non-protein coding RNA 2898. The record is from Ensembl. NCBI's taxonomy places the organism in Eukaryota, Metazoa, Chordata, Mammalia, Primates, Hominidae.